AGCGGCGAACGGGUGAGUAACACGUAGGUGAUCUGCCCAUCAGACGGGGACAACGAUUGGAAACGAUCGCUAAUACCGGAUAGGACGAAAGUUUAAAGGUGCUUCUGGCACCGCUGAUGGAUGAGCCUGCGGCGCAUUAGCUAGUUGGUAGGGUAAAGGCCUACCAAGGCGACGAUGCGUAGCCGACCUGAGAGGGUGAACGGCCACACUGGGACUGAGACACGGCCCAGACUCCUACGGGAGGCAGCAGUAGGGAAUCUUCGGCAAUGGGCGAAAGCCUGACCGAGCAACGCCGCGUGAAUGAUGAAGGCCUUCGGGUUGUAAAAUUCUGUUAUAAGGGAAGAACGACUUUAGUAGGAAAUGGCUAGAGUGUGACGGUACCUUAUGAGAAAGCCACGGCUAACUACGUGCCAGCAGCCGCGGUAAUACGUAGGUGGCGAGCGUUAUCCGGAAUUAUUGGGCGUAAAGAGCGCGCAGGUGGUUGAUUAAGUCUGAUGUGAAAGCCCACGGCUUAACCGCGGAGGGUCAUUGGAAACUGGUCGACUUGAGUGCAGAAGAGGGAAGUGGAAUUCCAUGUGUAGCGGUGAAAUGCGUAGAGAUAUGGAGGAACACCAGUGGCGAAGGCGGCUUCCUGGUCUGUAACUGACACUGAGGCGCGAAAGCGUGGGGCGCAAACAGGAUUAGAUACCCUGGUAGUCCACGCCGUAAACGAUGAGUGCUAAGUGU
This 726-nucleotide ribosomal RNA is filed under the name uncultured bacterium. Its description in RNAcentral is "bacterial SSU rRNA". It matches the Rfam family "Bacterial small subunit ribosomal RNA", at positions 94 to 823 of the family's 1533-position model. The record is from RNAcentral.